Non-coding RNA from Cyanistes caeruleus (blue tit), 165 nucleotides. NCBI's taxonomy places the organism in Eukaryota, Metazoa, Chordata, Aves, Passeriformes, Paridae. The record is from RefSeq and is a predicted model, not a curated record.
GGUGACAUGGAUGAUGAAGACGGCCGGUGCCUGUUAGACGUCAUCUGCGAUCCUCAGGCCCUGAACGAUUUCUUGCAUGGAUCCGAGAAGAUCGACAGCGAUGAUCUCCUGGACAACUCCGGAGACGCCGCCAGCGCCUUCUUCGAAGGUGCCGGGGUAAGAAUU